CGGAUAAAAGGGACUCCGGGGAUAACAGGCUGAUACCGCCCAAGAGUUCAUAUCGACGGCGGUGUUGGGCACCUCGAUGUCGGCUCAUCACAUCCUGGGGCUGAAGUAGGUCCCAAGGGUAUGGCUGUUCGCCAUUUAAAGUGGUACGCGAGCUGGGUUUAGAACGUCGUGAGACAGUUCGGUCCCUAUCUGCCGUGGGCGCUGGAGAACUGAGGGGGGCUGCUCCUAGUACGAGAGGACCGGAGUGGACGUAUCCACUGGUGUUCGGGUUGUCUUGCCAAGGGCAUUGGCCGGUAGCUAAAUGCGGAAGAGAUAAGUGCUGGAAGCAUCUAAGCA
Molecule: ribosomal RNA, 336 nt
Filed under: Salmonella enterica subsp. enterica serovar Typhimurium
Lineage: Bacteria; Pseudomonadati; Pseudomonadota; Gammaproteobacteria; Enterobacterales; Enterobacteriaceae
Description: bacterial LSU rRNA
Rfam family: Bacterial large subunit ribosomal RNA
Source: RNAcentral